ACUGAUCGAUAGAACUUAUCAUAUUGUUUAGAAAUAUUUAUCUUUUGAUCUAUCAUCUUGUGCGUGAGUGUAUUUUAAGAAAAAAAGAGAGUAAAUAUGGGGAAGUUCGUAAGAAAGGGUUGGGUAGUGGGGUGUGUGAUGGUGUUACUGAUGUCGACUCAAGUUUUGGGAAGAUUAUAUGAUACAGAUAGUCAUGGCGGUGGCAAAAACCGACAUAAGAAGCAUGGAGGAGGCAGUCAUGGUGCUGGAGCUGGUGGUGGUGCCGGUGGAGGUGGAAGUGUUGGGGUUGGUAUAGGAGCAGGAGGUGGUGCUAGCGGUGGCAUUGGAGUCGGUGGUGGAAUUGGUGGAGGAGGAGGUAUAGGCGGUAGUGGAAGUGGUAGUGCUGGAGGCCAUGGCGGUAAACAUGGUGGUAAAG
RNAcentral lists this long non-coding RNA (415 nucleotides) under Capsella grandiflora. Its description in RNAcentral is "long non-coding RNA (CGRA_LNC001624)". Lineage: Eukaryota; Viridiplantae; Streptophyta; Magnoliopsida; Brassicales; Brassicaceae. The record is from RNAcentral.